This 402-nucleotide ribosomal RNA is filed under the name uncultured bacterium. RNAcentral's name for it is "bacterial SSU rRNA". It matches the Rfam family "Bacterial small subunit ribosomal RNA", at positions 356 to 773 of the family's 1533-position model. The record is from RNAcentral.
GGGGAAUAUUGCGCAAUGGGCGAAAGCCUGACGCAGCCACGCCGCGUGUGUGAUGAAGGCCCUCGGGUCGUAAAGCACUGUCGGGAGGAAAGAAGUUCUGACGGUACCUCCCAAGAAAGCACCGGCUAACUCCGUGCCAGCAGCCGCGGUAAUACGGAGGGUGCAAGCGUUGCUCGGAAUCACUGGGCGUAAAGCGUACGCAGGCGGCGCGUUAAGUCGGGUGUGAAAGCCCGGGGCUCAACCCCGGAAUUGCAUUCGAUACUGGCGUGCUGGAGUGCGGGAGAGGGAAGCGGAAUUCCUGGUGUAGAGGUGAAAUUCGUAGAUAUCAGGAGGAACAUCAGUGGCGAAAGCGGCUUCCUGGCCCGAUACUGACGCUCAUGUACGAAAGCGUGGGGAGCAAAC